UGUAGAACGUGGACCUGAAAGAUAAGGUUAAUUGACGCCCUGACUUAGCAAAGAACUGGUAGCAGGAUCAAAUGGCAGUUAGAAAGAAAUACUUUGGGACCUGGAAAACCCUUAUUUUCCUUGUCCUGAGCUUGAUACUUCAGCAGGAUUUCAUUGAUUGGGUUCGCUGCUCAGAAAAACGCAGUAGGGACCGCACGUGUGAAAUAGUGGGAAAGACUUCUGGAGCUGCUCUUUUAUGGCGUGUGAUUCUCCUCAUUGAUGGCCGAUCCGCUGAGUGCAUAAAUAGGACAUUUAAGGGAAGCAGCAUAGAACCCACAGCACAAACAAUGCCAUCACAGCCAUCCAGCGAAGCUUAUCGCAGGUAAGAGCCCAAAUGAAGUAGGGGACAGAACUAUUUCAGGCAUUUUUGAAAAACCCUGGAAAAAAUGUAGUUAGAGAAAUGGUUUUAUGUUUUAGAACGAUUUAUUUAUGUUGUAGAACGAUUUAUUUAAGUAGUAGUUUUGAAUGUUAUUUGACUAUUUGUAAUUGUGCUGUAUGUAUUACUUUUUUUUAAAAAUAGCUAUAUCCAUGUAAGUUAAUAAACUCAUCCUUCAUGAAACUAAAGCUUUGACAUUGAAAAUAUGUUAGAACUACUGGAAUACUUCCAUUAAUAUUUUGCACCCAGCUGCUAAAUGACUUCUAUAGGUAACUUUGAAUAAAAGGAAAACAAUCGUAGCUGGUGGAAAUGAAACAGUUAUAAUUUAAUAAAGACUACAUUGGUUCGAA
Molecule: long non-coding RNA, 765 nt
Organism: Chelonia mydas (Green sea turtle)
Lineage: Eukaryota; Metazoa; Chordata; Testudines; Cheloniidae
Exons: 2
Source: RefSeq, a predicted model, not a curated record